Molecule: ribosomal RNA, 372 nt
Filed under: uncultured organism
Description: partial 16S ribosomal RNA
Rfam family: Bacterial small subunit ribosomal RNA
Source: RNAcentral
GUAGGUGGCAAGCGUUGUCCGGAAUUAUUGGGCGUAAAGCGCGCGCAGGCGGUUCUUUAAGUCUGAUGUGAAAGCCCACGGGCUCAACCGUGGAGGGUCAUUGGAAACUGGAGAACUUGAGUACAGAAGAGGAAAGCGGAAUUCCACGUGUAGCGGUGAAAUGCGUAGAGAUGUGGAGGAACACCAGUGGCGAAGGCGGCUUUCUGGUCUGUAACUGACGCUGAGGCGCGAAAGCGUGGGGAGCAAACAGGAUUAGAUACCCUGGUAGUCCACGCCGUAAACGAUGAGUGCUAAGUGUUAGGGGGUAUCCGCCCCUUAGUGCUGCGGCUAACGCAUUAAGCACUCCGCCUGGGGAGUACGGCCGCAAGGCUG